AAAACUCCGGUGGUAUGAGAUGGGCCCGCGUCUGAUUAGCUAGUUGGCGGGGUAACGGCCCACCAAGGCAACGAUCAGUAGCCGACCUGAGAGGGCGACCGGCCACAUUGGGACUGAGACACGGCCCAAACUCCUACGGGAGGCAGCAGUGGGGAAUAUUGCACAAUGGGGGAAACCCUGAUGCAGCGACGCCGCGUGAGCGAUGAAGUAUUUCGGUAUGUAAAGCUCUAUCAGCAGGGAAGAAGAUGACGGUACCUGACUAAGAAGCCCCGGCUAACUACGUGCCAGCAGCCGCGGUAAUACGUAGGGGGCAAGCGUUAUCCGGAUUUACUGGGUGUAAAGGGAGCGUAGACGGCGGUGCAAGCCAGAUGUGAAAGCCCGGGGCUCAACCCCGGGACUGCAUUUGGAACUGUAUGGCUGGAGUGUCGGAGAGGCAGGCGGAAUUCCUAGUGUAGCGGUGAAAUGCGUAGAUAUUAGGAGGAACACCAGUGGCGAAGGCGGCCUGCUGGACGAUGACUGACGUUGAGGCUCGAAAGCGUGGGGAGCAAACAGGAUUAGAUACCCUGGUAGUCCACGCCGUAAACGAUGACUACUAGGUGUCGGGCAGCAAAGCUGUUCG
Molecule: ribosomal RNA, 619 nt
Filed under: uncultured bacterium
Lineage: Bacteria
Description: bacterial SSU rRNA
Rfam family: Bacterial small subunit ribosomal RNA
Source: RNAcentral